UCUGACACAGGUGCUGCAUGGCUGUCGUCAGCUCGUGUCGUGAGAUGUUGGGUUAAGUCCCGUAACGAGCGCAACCCUUGUCCUUAGUUACCAGCACGUUAUGGUGGGCACUCUAAGGAGACUGCCGGUGGACAAACCGGAGGAAGGUGGGGGAUGACGUCAAGUCAUCAUGGCCCUUACGGCCUGGGCUACACACGUGCUACAAUGGUCGGUACAAAGGGUUGCCAAGCCGCGAGGUGGAGCUAAUCCCAUAAAACCGAUCGUAGUCCGGAUCGCAGUCUGCAACUCGACUGCGUGAAGUCGGAAUCGCUAGUAAUCGCGCAUCAGCCAUGGCGCGGUGAAUACGUUCCCGGGCCUU
Molecule: ribosomal RNA, 358 nt
Filed under: uncultured Pseudomonas sp.
Lineage: Bacteria; Pseudomonadati; Pseudomonadota; Gammaproteobacteria; Pseudomonadales; Pseudomonadaceae
Description: bacterial SSU rRNA
Rfam family: Bacterial small subunit ribosomal RNA
Source: RNAcentral